GCCAGUGUGGUGGCAGGCACUGAAGUCCCAGCUACUUGGGAGGCUGAAGUAGGAAGAUCACUUGAGCCCAGGAGUUCUGAGGUGUAUCGAGUUAUGCCUGCCGGGUGUCCACACUAAGUCGACAUCAUGGUGAGCUCCCAGGAGCAUGGGACCACCAUGUUGCCUCAGGAGGGGUAAACUGGCCCAAGGUGGAAACAGAGCAGGUCAAAACUCCCAUGCUGAUCAGUAAUGGGAUGUUGUCUGUGAAUAGCCACUGCAAUCCUGCCUGCACAACAUAGGGAGAUCCCGUUUCCA
Callithrix jacchus (white-tufted-ear marmoset) is the source of this 294-nucleotide unclassified non-coding RNA. It matches the Rfam family "Metazoan signal recognition particle RNA". From Rfam's summary of the family: The signal recognition particle (SRP) is a universally conserved ribonucleoprotein. It is involved in the co-translational targeting of proteins to membranes. NCBI's taxonomy places the organism in Eukaryota, Metazoa, Chordata, Mammalia, Primates, Cebidae. The record is from Ensembl.